This 381-nucleotide ribosomal RNA is filed under the name uncultured archaeon. RNAcentral describes it as "bacterial SSU rRNA". It matches the Rfam family "Archaeal small subunit ribosomal RNA", at positions 471 to 851 of the family's 1478-position model. The record is from RNAcentral.
UAAUACCAGCGCCACGAGUGGGGAUCGUAUUUAUUUGGCCUAAAGCGCCCGUAGCCGGGCUGCUAAAUCUUUUGUGAAAUCGUUGUGCUUAACACAACGGCGUGCAGAAGACACUAGUAGCCUAGGGACUGGGAGGCGUCAGAUGUAUGCUAAGGGGAGCAGUAAAAUGCUAUAAUCCUUGGUAGACAACCGGUGGCGAAGGCGUCUGACGAGAACAGGUCCGACGGUCAGGGACGAAAGCUAGGGGAGCAAACCGGAUUAGAUACCCGAGUAGUCCUAGCUGUAAACGCUGCGAGCAAGGUGUUGCAUAUCCUCCGUGGAUAUGCAGUGUCGAAGCGAAGGCGUUAGGCUCGCUGCCUGGGGAGUACGGUCGCAAGACUG